GGGCGUCUGGCCCAGGCGGCGCUGGGCGGUGCGGAUGCCCUGGCGCAGCGCCUCGGCGGACUCGGCGUCGUUCAUGCCGGCGAUGGCCC
This 89-nucleotide transfer RNA is filed under the name Halomonas halophila. Its description in RNAcentral is "tRNA-Arg". Lineage: Bacteria; Pseudomonadati; Pseudomonadota; Gammaproteobacteria; Oceanospirillales; Halomonadaceae. The record is from RNAcentral.